Molecule: ribosomal RNA, 509 nt
Filed under: uncultured bacterium
Lineage: Bacteria
Description: bacterial SSU rRNA
Rfam family: Bacterial small subunit ribosomal RNA
Source: RNAcentral
AGUUUGAUCCUGGCUCAGAUUGAACGCUGGCGGCAGGCCUAACACAUGCAAGUCGAACGGUAACAGGAAACAGCUUGCUGUUUCGCUGACGAGUGGCGGACGGGUGAGUAAUGUCUGGGAAACUGCCUGAUGGAGGGGGAUAACUACUGGAAACGGUAGCUAAUACCGCAUAACGUCGCAAGACCAAAGAGGGGGGACCCUCGGGCCUCUUGCCAUCGGAUGUGCCCAGAUGGGAUUAGCUUGUUGGUGGGGUAACGGCUCACCAAGGCGACGAUCCCUAGCUGGUCUGAGAGGAUGACCAGCCACACUGGAACUGAGACACGGUCCAGACUCCUACGGGAGGCAGCAGUGGGGAAUAUUGCACAAUGGGCGCAAGCCUGAUGCAGCCAUGCCGCGUGUAUGAAGAAGGCCUUCGGGUUGUAAAGUACUUUCAGCGGGGAGGAAGGGAGUAAAGUUAAUACCUUUGCUCAUUGACGUUACCCGCAGAAGAAGCACCGGCUAACUCCGUG